GCCACAUGGGAGACAGUCUGUUCCUGGCUUUCUUUGGAUAAAGAUGAGCUCUCAGCUCCUUCUGUAGCACUAUGUCUGUCUGGAUUGCUGCCAUACUUCCUGCCAUGAUGAUAAUGGACUGAAUUUCUGAACCUGUUUGAAGAAGAGUGACUGACGGUGCAGGUUGCUGCAGGAGACAGUAUAAAAGAGAGGAGUAAUUCAAAACAUCCAAUCGCCAAAGAAGACAAUGCCUGCUAUAAGUCUUUGUCAUUAUCCUCCGUGCUGAUGGCCGUGUCCCCUCAUCUACUGGAAAAGCAACGGAUGGCUGGAGAUUUUCAUCGAUCUACAUUUCGACAUUGCCUUGAAUGACUCAGCGUCAGUGCAUAUGCCCACAGAGAAGCCUUCCUCUCUGUUCUGCAUUGUCCCCAUCUUUAAAGGUCUCCUCUCUUCCUCUUUACUCUGUAGUUUUAGGGUCUGUGAUUCUCCAAAGAAUGAUACCCCAGACUCAAACAGUAUGCAAUAAAAAGAGUGUUUACUCUGCAGAGAUCCAGCCUGCAGGGGUCUACCAUCCAUGGAAGAUCGAGAAGUGUGCUUUGCAGGGUCAGUUUAAAGUCUGUUAGGUUAGGGGCAGGUGACUUUUACCUUUCUUUCCUUUGAUUGGUUGGCUCUAUAACCAGGUAUAUUUGUGAUUG
This 671-nucleotide long non-coding RNA is filed under the name Mus musculus (house mouse). RNAcentral describes it as "predicted gene, 19784". Lineage: Eukaryota; Metazoa; Chordata; Mammalia; Rodentia; Muridae. The record is from RNAcentral.